Molecule: non-coding RNA, 434 nt
Filed under: Pongo abelii (Sumatran orangutan)
Lineage: Eukaryota; Metazoa; Chordata; Mammalia; Primates; Hominidae
Source: RNAcentral
GCGGAUAAAACGGUCCCAUCAAGAUUGAGAAAAAGCACACCAAAUGUUGGUACAGCGUGGGCAGUGGGGCCUACAGGAUGACUUAGUCUACAGAGAUCCCGGCGUACUUAAGCAGAUGAAGACUCUUAAGAUGACAGAAGGUGAAUUUUUCUGGUGAUCGAGGACUCCUGGGGUCAUGAGAGUGAUGAAAUGCAGGGGACCUGGUGGCCCCCAAGUUUCCUGGCAGUGUGUGAUACUGAGAUUCAUGUGUUACAUGUAAAGCUGUCCUCAGUUGUGACUAUGGACCUAUGGAGUUGGGACAAUCUCUAUGGGAAGCAGAAGGCAAGACCCCGGUCAUUUUAGGUAGAAACAACAGCAUGCUAAUGCAAAAAAUUAUGCAAUGUGCUACUGAACUUCAGAGGUGAUCAAUAAAAGAAUAAAGACUAGUAAAAGUA